RNAcentral lists this ribosomal RNA (489 nucleotides) under uncultured bacterium. Its description in RNAcentral is "partial 16S ribosomal RNA". It matches the Rfam family "Bacterial small subunit ribosomal RNA", at positions 28 to 506 of the family's 1533-position model. The record is from RNAcentral.
GAUGAACGCUAGCUACAGGCUUAACACAUGCAAGUCGCGGGGCAGCAUGGGGGUUGCUUGCAAUCCCCGAUGGCGACCGGCGCACGGGUGAGUAACGCGUAUCCAACCUGCCCUUCACCACGGGAUAACCCGGCGAAAGUCGGACUAAUACCGUAUGUUGUCCAUUGACGGCAUCCGAUUUGGACGAAAGGUUUGGCGGUGAAGGAUGGGGAUGCGUCCGAUUAGCUGGACGGCGGGGUGACGGCCCACCGUGGCGACGAUCGGUAGGGGUUCUGAGAGGAAGGCCCCCCACACUGGAACGGGGACACGGCCCGGACUCCUACGGGAGGAAGCAGUGAGGAAUAUUGGUCAAGGGGCGUAAGCCUGAACCAGCCAAGUAGCGUGCAGGAUGACGGCCCUAUGGGUUGUAAACUGCUUUUAUGCGGGGAUAAAGUGGCCCACGUGUGGGUUUUUGCAGGUACCGCAGGAAUAAGGACCGGCUAAUUCCGU